Molecule: long non-coding RNA, 3051 nt
Organism: Hemicordylus capensis (graceful crag lizard)
Lineage: Eukaryota; Metazoa; Chordata; Lepidosauria; Squamata; Cordylidae
Exons: 2
Source: RefSeq, a predicted model, not a curated record
GAGAACAAGCUAUUGAAACUGGAUUUUAAAACCCUCCAAUGUUUUGGUAUGGGUUAUUAAUGAAUCUCAAGAGUACUCUCCUUUGUAAGAAAAAAAAAGUGCUUGAGAUAAAAUCAUUCCAGUGGGAAAUGGACCUAAGAAUGCAUUUCAGCCUUCGUUCUGUGUGUUCCUAUCUAAGCUGAUCAUGUGAAAGCCCUUUUAGUAUUCUCUCAGUACACUGGAAAAAUAAUCCUUUCUGUUCAGCAUCACAAUGGGAGAGCUGUUGUAUGCUCUGCAUUUGACAAAACUCAGUUCAUAUUUUGAUGUUUGUUUGAAACUUCAAAUCCUUUUGAAAACAUUACUUUGAUUUGAACAUUGGUUAUCGGAUGAUAACCUUAACAUUUUUAUAUUAAUCCCAUAGUAUGUGUGGAGAAUGUCUCCCUUUAAAAGGAUUCUCUUAAGUAAAAAUACCAUGGUUAUGCCUCAGAGUAAAUCCCGUAAAGAUACUUUGUUGUGUUGUGUUGUUUUUACUGUUCAGAGAAAUUGAGGCCCUCUGUUGGUGACACAGGCAACUUUGUUGCUAAGCAGCACCACUGUUGCUAGGCAGGAGCAGUGGCUAGGAGGGUGGUUGCUCCUGGAGUCUAAAUAAGCUUUAGAGUGAAAAUGUAGCUAAGGAAGCUUAACACAGUCAAGGUCGGUUCAGAUGACAUACAGAACCAUGGGUCCAUGGUUCUGUGCUCCCCUCCCCCCACUCUCCAGUCUACAUUCAGACCUACUGCAGUCAGGUCUGCAGUACUGCAGCGAGACUGUAGAGAGGUGGGGAGCUGGCUGUGUGGGCUUCCUUCUGUCCUGAAUGACAGCCUGCACAGCCAAUAGGAGCCAGAGCAAGGGAGGAGCUCAACUCCAGUUUGAGGAAAGCCUAACCUCAAUUCCUGGAUCCGGCAUAAUGGAGGCGCUGUGAAGUGCAGUUAUCAGCUGCGUAACUCACUACAAACUGAAGUUCUUCUUUGGGCAAGAUUUGCAUGCUGGUUUGAGAUUCUGGAUGGGCCCACCUGACCUCGUUGCACCAGAUCUUUGUCAUUUCGCCUGUUCACCUAUGGGACUUUCAGACUAUGGACUAUGCAGGAGUACAGCUGGGAUAGUUCCUUUAGAAGAAAGAGACUGGGGUUUGGUUUAGGUUUUAUUUAGUGGCCCUAUGAUGAUAUUGUAUGCAUAUUUUAUGAUUUUCUAUUACUUUAUAAUUGGGUAUUUUAAUUUUACCUCUAUGUAUGCUUGACAAAUUUGGUUCUACAAAGAAGAAAAAAUGUGAAUGUUUAUAAAUUCUUGAGUCUGGCAUAUGAAAUUGUGGGGUCCCCCCCCCUAUUUUCUUUUUCUUUCUUGCAACCACUGUGUGUGUGUGUGUGUGUGUGUGUGUGUGUGUGUGUGUGUGUGUGUGUAGACAGAGGGAGAGAGAGACUUGACCCAAAAACCCCAUUUCCUUAGUAAGAGGGGUUAUAUACAGAAGAAAAAGAGCCCUGACUUACAAUUUGUCCAAAUGAUACCCCUCUAUACAGUCACUUUAAAUGGCACAGUGGGGAAAUGCUUCACUAACAAGCAGAAGUUUGCUGGUUCGAAUCCCCACUGGUAUGCUUCCCAGACUAUGGGAAACACCUAUAUUGGGCAGCAGCGAUAUAGGAAGAAGCUGAAAGGCACCAUCUCAUCCUGUGCAGGAGGAGGCAAUGGUAAACCCAAAAGAAAACCACAGGGCUCUGUGGGUGCCGGGAGUUGAAAUCAACUUGACGGUACACUCUACCUUUUUAUACCCCUGUAUUAACAGUGGGUGUUGGUUCUGCGUUAAAGAGGUGUUGACUGGGAUAAUUUGUUCCUGGCAGCUCUGCUUCUUAUGAAGAAGAGAGCAAACGUCCCUAUCUAAUAGGGAUGUGCAAAUCAAUUUGGGUACAAGACAAUUUGUACCCGAAUCAAGCUGUUUUGUGCAAUUUGUAGACAGAACAAAUCAGCUCUGUGCUCAAUUGCCCAGAUUUGGUUCCAAAACAAAUAGCCCAGAUUCGGACCCCAAAAAUUUGGAGAUUUGGACCUCUGGCAAUCUCUCUUGCUCUCCAUUUUGUUUCCCUGCAAAAAAUUGGAAAAUCCCACCCUCCAAGAUUCAGAUUGGUGAUUUACGAGUGUGAAUUAUUGGCUGGUGCAUCCCCCUUGAUUCCAGAUUGGCUUGUAUCUAUUCAGAUCUUGUGUUGCUGGGGUAACUGUGCCAGCACUGGCUAGGGAGAAGGGACAAAGGUGGGUGGGGGGAGGCAGAUGCAGAGAUUUUCAAAUGGGUGGUGGACUGGUGCCACCAUGGCCCAGCAGCAGCACUCAUCAACCAGAGGCUGUGGUGGAGUGAGGUGGGCAGGCAGGCAGGAGGGGUUUGGGGUUUUUUUUUUUGCUGGGAAGUACUUGCAUGCUGAUAUGAAUUGAUUUCAUUGAUUAAUUGAUGCUAAUAUGAAUGAUGAAUAUGAUAUAUGAUUGAUGAUGAUGAUUUGAUUUCUUUGUUAGAAUUUGUAAUAUGACUUUGCACUUGUUUCUUUAAUGUUUGUAUGUGACUUUGCUUUGCUGGGUUUUUUUCCCAUGGAAAGACUGUGAUUGAAGCAGCAGAUACACACACACGCCUCCCUCCACCCCACCAGCUGUGGCCAAGGAUGAGCUUGCUGCUGGUGCCCUCACAUGUGUCAGCCUGCCUGUCACACAGAGGACAUAGCAUUCUGAGGCCAUGGCAAAACACAACCCAAACCCUAACCUUUCUGCACAGCACACACAGGUAUAUGUUAUUCCCCCCCCCCCAUUACUAGGAGUAUAUGUAUGUACUUAAUUCAAGUGCCUUGGUUUGUUUUGGGGCUGUAGCUAUCUUUUGGUAACUUUAUGGAUGGGCACAGGUUCUCUGUGUGUGACAUCUUUGCGAUGAAGAUUGGGUCAUAUUGGGACUUGUGUUCAAGAAGCAUCAUCAUUUUAUUCAAACUAGAUUGUUUGCGUUACAAUAGAUUUUCUUGUUGCCACAGGCUCUGUUCCACUGCAGAAUUAUUAUUAUUUGUUUGAAAUGUG